RNAcentral lists this ribosomal RNA (266 nucleotides) under uncultured archaeon. Its description in RNAcentral is "partial 16S ribosomal RNA". It matches the Rfam family "Archaeal small subunit ribosomal RNA", at positions 717 to 982 of the family's 1478-position model. The record is from RNAcentral.
ACACGACUACAUUAGAUACCCCUGUAGUCCAGGGUGUAAACGCUGCGGGCUUGGUGUUGGGGGGUCCUUUGAGGGCGCCCAGUGCCGGAGAGAAGUUGUUAAGCCUGCUGCUUGGGGAGUACGUCCGCAAGGAUGAAACUUAAAGGAAUUGGCGGGGGAGCACCGCAACGGGGGGAGCGUGCGGUCCAAUUGGAUUCAACGCCGGACAACUCACCAGGAGCGACGGUUACAUGAAGGCCAGGCUGAUGACCUUGCCUGAUUUUCCG